Molecule: long non-coding RNA, 842 nt
Organism: Malania oleifera
Lineage: Eukaryota; Viridiplantae; Streptophyta; Magnoliopsida; Santalales; Ximeniaceae
Exons: 2
Source: RefSeq, a predicted model, not a curated record
UGGCAUUCUAACACCUAGCAAAUCAAAUUAGAAAUCCUUAUUUGCUUUUAGGAUUUACCAGGUCAGUGUCCCCUUCGGGUGGCAACCCUACUACUGCUGAUUCUUUUUGGACCCUGCUUUCAGGAGAAUUGCCAAGACGUUGAAUAGGUCGCUGCAAUUCACUAUUGUCAUUUGAGUUCUCUCCGUCUCUAUGAUUCCUCUUUGGUCGAUAUCAAGUUUAAAGGUUGGGUUACCUUGGCACAGAGGAUGGUUUUAUUCGCAGGUUUCUCUCUUUCAUGUGACGGAGUUUUCAGACUUGCUUAGAUGCAGUAAGAGCUGCAGGCUUAGGUGGACAGCCUAUAUAUCUCAAGCUAGGCCUUAAACGCCGUAACUUCACAGAUCAGAUCAUGAGGAGAAGAUGAUAAUCCACCUCCAAGCUUUUUGCUCAACAGCCUCUGAAGUCUUACCUUCCUCGGAGAGCAGAGAAUGAUACUAAAAAAAUUAUUGGGAUAUCCACCUUACGAGAAGUCUCAAAAAGCUUCAAAGAUCUUCUGAGGGCCAUGAUCAAGUUGUGUUCAUUAGUUUGCUCACAGUGAAACGCUGAGGACCAGCGGGAGAGAAGGCUUCAAAUAGAUAUUCACAGGACUAACGAGAUCUAUGUGAGGCCUUGUCCUUGCACAAGCCAAAUUAUGCGCAUGACGUAACUGAACUCACUCCCCAUGGGCCAUCAUCUUUACACAAGACCAAUCCAAUCAUCUACUCUUUUCUUCUGUUCCUGAAAACAUAGCCCCUUUGUUUCUAUAUUUGAAUUUCUUUGGUUGGGAUUGUAAAACAAUAUUACUUUAAACUUUCAGUUCUCAGUA